This 24-nucleotide non-coding RNA is filed under the name Arabidopsis thaliana (thale cress). Lineage: Eukaryota; Viridiplantae; Streptophyta; Magnoliopsida; Brassicales; Brassicaceae. The record is from RNAcentral.
AGAAAAUGAAGAGGAGUGGUUGUG